GGAAAACUUACCAGGUCCGGACAUAGUAAGGAUUGACAGAUUGAAGAUCUUUCUUGAUUCUAUGGGUGGUGGUGCAUGGCCGUUUUUAGUUGGUGGAGUGAUUUGUCUGGUUAAUUCCGAUAACGAACGAGACCUCAGCCUGCUAAUUAGCCGGGACUAUUGCGUUUGUGAUAGUUUCCGCGUUACUUCUUAGAGGGACUAUGCGUGCGUAGCGCAUGGAAGUUUGAGGCAACAA
Molecule: ribosomal RNA, 235 nt
Filed under: uncultured eukaryote
Lineage: Eukaryota
Description: partial 18S ribosomal RNA
Rfam family: Eukaryotic small subunit ribosomal RNA
Source: RNAcentral